This 396-nucleotide ribosomal RNA is filed under the name uncultured bacterium. Its description in RNAcentral is "partial 16S ribosomal RNA". It matches the Rfam family "Bacterial small subunit ribosomal RNA", at positions 523 to 918 of the family's 1533-position model. The record is from RNAcentral.
AUACGUAGGGGACAAGCGUUAUCCGGAUUUACUGGGUGUAAAGGGAGCGUAGGCGGCCAGCCAAGUCAGAAGUGAAAUCCCACGGCUCAACUGUGGGCGUGCUUUUGAAACUGGAGGGCUUGAGUACUGGAGGGGCAAGCGGAAUUCCUGGUGUAGCGGUGAAAUGCAUAGAUAUCAGGAAGAACACCGGAGGCGAAGGCGGCUUGCUGGACAGAGACUGACGCUGAGGCUCGAAGGCGUGGGGAGCAAACAGGAUUAGAUACCCUGGUAGUCCACGCGGUAAACGAUGAAUGCUAGGUAUUGGGUUCCGUAGGGACUCGGUGCCGCAGUUAACGCAAUAAGCAUUCCACCUGGGGAGUACGUUCGCAAGAAUGAAACUCAAAGGAAUUGACGGGG